UGAGGAAUAUUGGUCAAUGGGCGCAAGCCUGAACCAGCCAUCCCGCGUGCAGGAAGACGGCGCUAUGCGUUGUAAACUGCUUUUCCAGGGAGAGAAACUUGCGCACGUGUUGCGCAAUUGACGGUACCCUGGGAAUAAGCAUCGGCUAACUCCGUGCCAGCAGCCGCGGUAAUACGGAGGAUGCGAGCGUUAUCCGGAUUCAUUGGGUUUAAAGGGUGCGUAGGCGGACUGUUAAGUCAGUGGUGAAAUCCUGCAGCUUAACUGCAGAACUGCCAUUGAUACUGAUAGCCUUGAGAUUGGUUAAGAUAGGCGGAAUGUGUAAUGUAGCGGUGAAAUGCUUAGAUAUUACACAGAACACCAAUUGCGGAGGCAGCUUACUGAGCCGACACUGACGCUGAGGCACGAAAG
RNAcentral lists this ribosomal RNA (408 nucleotides) under uncultured bacterium. RNAcentral describes it as "bacterial SSU rRNA". It matches the Rfam family "Bacterial small subunit ribosomal RNA", at positions 355 to 759 of the family's 1533-position model. The record is from RNAcentral.